GUGUCAGCAGCCGCGGUAAUACAGAGGGCUCAAGCGUUAAUCGGAAUUACUGGGCUUAAAGGGUACGCAGGCGGACCUAUAAGUAUCGUGUGAAAUCCCACAGCUCAACUGUGGAACUGCUCGGUAUACUGUAGGUCUUGAGAUCGGUAGGGGCAAUCGGAACUCUAGGUGGAGCGGUGAAAUGCGUAGAUAUCUAGAGGAACGCCAAAGGCGAAGGCAGAUUGCUGGGCCGAUUCUGACGCUCAUGUACGAAAGCGUGGGUAGCGAACGGGAUUAGAUACCCCGGUAGUCCACGCCCUAAACGAUGUGCACUAGAUCGAGAGGGCUCUGACGCCAACUCGGUCGAAGGAAAACUGUUAAGUGCACCGCCUGGGGAGUACGGUCGCAAGAUUAAAACUUAAAUGAAUUGACGGGG
This 415-nucleotide ribosomal RNA is filed under the name uncultured bacterium. Its description in RNAcentral is "bacterial SSU rRNA". It matches the Rfam family "Bacterial small subunit ribosomal RNA", at positions 505 to 918 of the family's 1533-position model. The record is from RNAcentral.